AAACCAGCACCUCAAGUGGUCAGGAUGAUUAUUGGGCCUAAAGCAUCCGUAGCCGGCUCUGUAAGUUUCCGGUUAAAUCUGUACGCUCAACGUACAGGCUGUCGGGAAUACUGCAGAGCUAGGGAGUGGGAGAGGUAGACGGUACUCGGGAGGAAGUGGUAAAAUGCUUUGAUCUCUCGAUGACCACCUGUGGCGAAGGCGGUCUACCAGAACACGUCCGACGGUGAGGGAUGAAAGCUGGGGAGCAAACCGGAUUAGAAACCCCUGUAGUCC
RNAcentral lists this ribosomal RNA (273 nucleotides) under uncultured bacterium. RNAcentral describes it as "partial 16S ribosomal RNA". It matches the Rfam family "Archaeal small subunit ribosomal RNA", at positions 473 to 747 of the family's 1478-position model. The record is from RNAcentral.